GGGACAAGUCCCUUGGAAAAGGGCAGCAUAGAGGGUGAUACUCCCGUCUCUGCUCAGAUUGUCUGUGUGUACGAUACGCUUUCUUUGAGUCGAGUUGUUUGGGAAUACAGCUCAAAGUAGGUGGUAAAUUCCAUCUAAAGCUAAAUAUUGGUGCGAGACCGAUAGCGAACAAGUACCGUGAGGGAAAGAUGAAAAGAACUUUGAAAAGAGAGUUAAAGAGUACCUGAAACUGUUGAAAGGGAACCGUAACAUUUCCAGUGUUGUAUCCUGUGCAUAUUUCAUUAGCGGAGUAAUUUGCUGGUGCCCUGUGCAUGGGUGUGACGUCAGGGUCAGUUUGUAUGCUGCGGGAGAUGGUUAGUAAGGAGGUGCGUCACUUCGGUGAAAGUUAUACCUUGCUAUCUAGUAGCCGUGGUUGAGACUGAGGUGCCUACAACAUGCCUUGAGGUUCGGUGUUGUCUCGUUGUGGUGACUGCUUGGAUAGCUUGCUAUGUCUGUGGUUAAUUAUGGCGAUUGAUGAUGUCGAUAACUUCUGCUGUUCGGGACUCUGGCGAAAUGGAGUGUUACGACCCGUCUUGAAACACGGACCAAGGAGUCUAACAUGUGUGCAAGUAUUAGGGCGUGGAAACCCAAAUGCGUAAUGAAAGUAAAUGGUGCUUAUGCAUCUGUGGUAGGAAAGGGCUGUAAUGGUCCUGGCACUAUCGACCGAUCAUGAACCUACGGGUGAAAGAUUUGAGUAUGAGCAUAUAUGUUGGUACCCGAAAGAUGGUGAACUAUGCCUGAAUAGGGUGAAGCCAGGGGAAACUCUGGUGGAAGCUCGUAGCGAUUCUGACGUGCAAAUCGAUCGUCAAAUUUGGGUAUAGGGGCGAAAGACUAAUCGAACCAUCUAGUAGCUGGUUCCCUCCGAAAUUUCCCUCAGGAUAGCAGCAACUUUUUACGAUAG
RNAcentral lists this ribosomal RNA (940 nucleotides) under Saprolegniales sp. RNAcentral describes it as "partial large subunit ribosomal RNA". It matches the Rfam family "Eukaryotic large subunit ribosomal RNA", at positions 178 to 998 of the family's 3401-position model. The record is from RNAcentral. Lineage: Eukaryota; Oomycota; Saprolegniomycetes; Saprolegniales.